Molecule: long non-coding RNA, 3782 nt
Organism: Crotalus tigris (Tiger rattlesnake)
Lineage: Eukaryota; Metazoa; Chordata; Lepidosauria; Squamata; Viperidae
Exons: 2
Source: RefSeq, a predicted model, not a curated record
UAAAACUAGACAUGCCUUUUGAACUAUUAUCAUUUUAAAUAUAAUUAGCUCUGUACGUAUUCACACUUGAAUAGGCUGAUUUUAUGCUACACCCAUAUAAACAUAAGACCUGAGAGCCACUUAGUGGAAUAUAUUCCCAUUCCCCUCCCCACCAUUUUCCAGGUCUGGUCUCUGCAAUACAGAACAUGCAUGGUCAUUCACACUGCUGCCUUUUGCUUUUUCAAAAUAACAGGGCAGGGUGGGGGUAGAGAAGGAAGAAGACUUUAUUCUGUGCUAUCUGCCAUUUCAGAAAUGCUCAUUAGGCAACCCCACGUGAUCAGUGUCUUUCUGUAUUCUUCCAUAUAUUGCCCCGCAGCUGGUCAAAACCCUGGUAGUACUUAUGGAGCUGUAGCUGGUAUUAUGGCAAAAUAUAAGCCUUGCAGCUCAUGUAGUCAUGUAGUCACACAACAGGACAGUGAUGCCAUUAGCCAGGUUUAUCUGUGACAAACAUUUUACUGUGUAUAAAUACCAAGAUAGGAAGGGUGCUUUAUAAAAACUGCAGUGUUUUGACUCCAUUUGGUUAUAAAACAUAUUGUUUGGCAUUACUGGGAAGAUUUAGACAGCAUUUUAUUCUACUAAUAUGGGACCUUGUUCUAUCAUAAUUUUGUUUUGCUUUGCUUUUUCCUGUAUGUGACAAUAUCCAACUUUAGACAGUAAUUAGACCUCUUUAUAUUUAUCUUUUUAAAAAAACAUAUAUGUUGGAGAUGCUUGUCCUCUUUCCACAAUCACCCCUAUAUUUCAGCCUUCAAUGAAAUUACUGUACAGCUCACAGCAGAGAGAUCCCAGUAUAUACAGGGAAUUCCAUAAGUACCAUGUGAACAUGUUGGGGGGGGGGGAAUAAAGCCAGUUGUGAUAAAGAGGUAUACUUGGAGGAGGAAAAGGCUAAUCUAUGCAGGCAUCAAUCGGUGUAGGGCACUGAAGAAGAAUAUCCUCUAAAACAAUUCAGAUUUCAGAUUGUUAGGAUAGGUUGGUGGUGGCGGCAGCAACAGUGCAGGUCCAAUUCCUAUAGGAAGGGGGGAAAGCAGGCAUCGCCCUACUGAAUUGUCAAAAUGUCUUAUCUUUUAUUACCUGGAGCAUGAUCUAGCCAUUUGAGUGCAUUUAUUAAUCUGAACAGUAAAUAUCCUGUUGUAAGAUUCCCCGUUUCCCAUAUAAACAAGGGAGGGCUUAAUCUCUGCACUUUUACACCAGGGAAAAAGUGUAUCCCAAAUGCGUGGCUAAAUAAUUCAUAGGAUGAUGUUCCCUUCCUCCGCCCCUUCCUUUUUAACCUUUUCGAAAUUAGGAGGUGAUAACUGCAAGCCCAAAUACUACACAGAAGGCAUUUCCACCGCACGAGGAUGGAACAUUAAUUAUUCCCUCCAGUUCCACUCCGGGCAUCCCGGUUCGCUUCUAGCUACGUAGGAAGUUUGAGAAAGCACCCCAAGUGCCCCUUUUCCCGGCUCCUCGCUUUUUUAGGGCCACCUCUACAAAUGGAAGGGGGGCUAGUCUCUCCCCCUCCCGCCGCAUGUUUACCUGUGUUGCAUUUCUAAGGUGGGAGGGGUAGAGGCAGGUGAGAGUGGCGCGUCUUUGUGGAGCGGGGUGCGGGGGGGGGAGGUCUUGCGCGACAGAAUAGCUAUAGCCAAGCAGAGAGAAGUCCGUUGCUUGCAGCCAGCCCAGUUGCCACCCGAGCUGGCUUGGUUGCACACGCGCGCCACGGCGCAAUCCUCGCGGAGGCGGCUCGCAGCGCAACCCCGGAAAGGGAGUCAGAAGUAAAGCCGUUUAAAAAGCGCGAGAGAGGCAGGCAGGCAGGCAGGCGAGCGGGCGAAGGCUCUGUGCGGUGACACCGGACUCGCUGCGUAAUGCAGCGCCAAUUCCCAAUCCCUGAAAUGCAGGCCCAAGGACAGCCUCGUUCAGUCACACAUCUCCGUGCACAGCACAUGCCGAGUCUGUCAGAGGAGAAAUGCAGGCAAAGGCUCUUCUCUUCUUUCUCUGCCCCCCCUCCACCUCCCCCCCCCCGGCUGACAUGCUUGUGUGCAUCCUGGGCGAGUGAGCGAGCGAGAGAAAAUCCUUCCAAUUCUUUUGGACGUUAGAGCGAUCUGCGUUAGCAACCAGGAAGACGGGGGGCAGCAGCAGCGGCAAGCCAGCAAGACUGCAGCUUCUCAUGCCCAGCUCUGGGAAUCCGGAGAAACCGUGGAUCUGCCAGGUUGCUUUCCCCCCCCACCCCCAGCCCUCCCCAACCAAACCCGCAAGAUAUUUGCUGCCACCAUUUGGUUAAAAUAAGAAUGUUUAGGGCGCUGUGAUGCAUAGUCCCAAAAAAAAAAAAAAAAAGGAGCAGGAGACAGAGCUGAAUCGUCGCACCCACCGCACCGGCACCAUCAACUUGCCAAUCCUGCUGAAAUGGGAUUCCCUUCUCCUCCCCAUCUUUUGCCUUUCUCUGCGCUGGAAAUAUCGCCGAUGGCAUUACAUCUUUAUAAGAGGUUAAAGACCCUUUCCUGAGAAUGAAGCAAUUUACAAUGCAAAUAGAGGCCUGUGGAGGGAUGGAUGCUUCACACUCUUAACAGCUUGAUGCACCUUAAUAGCUGGUUUUAUUUUCUGAUAUUAACAGAUGAAUAGUUGGUCCAUUGCUGCAGGAAAUUACUGGAUUGAAAGGAAAGAAAAAGAGAGAGCGUGUGCAGGAGAGAGAGAAAAGGGAAAGGAGAAAGAAAGAAAGAAAGUUUGGAGUAAACUUUGAAGGCAAUAAUAUCUUCUGGAUGCAUCUUAGGAGCACGCAUAACUCCAACAGACUGUAGCUGGUCAUGGUGGCUUUGAAAGGAUGAGCAUUUUGAGACACAAGGUUUACUUGGAAAAAUCUAUUUGUGGAAACAGUCUGGAUUCUAAUGAGGAGGGGCUGAAAGCCCUGCAAACCAUAUGAGGGAAGCGAGUUGUUAUCUUUGGUUAUCUAGCUGUAUGAGUGUGUUGGUCUUCAUAAAGCUAGAUAACCGAAAGUAAAAACUCCUUCAUGAUCUUCCUGCUGCUCAAGAAGCAAGAAAGGGACAAUAAAAACCCAGCUCUAACAAGGCUGCUAACUCAAGGGCACGUUUCUGCAGAUCAAGGCAAGAGAGGGAGAAAACGAAUGAAAUGACAUGCCGUGUCAAAGACAUAUGUACAUGUGUAUCAUAGAGACAUAUCUGUAGGAGAUACCAGGGCACAAGAUGGUGAAGAAUAAACCAUAUGCUGCAAAGAGGAUAUUGUACUCAUGGUAAACAAAUGCAUGUCCAUGUUUUGCUUUUGUUUUGUUUUGUUUUGUUUUUGCUGUUCUGUGAGGAAGGGGUGGGAAGGAGUGAUGAAAGAUGACCCUGUUUAAAAGUGCAAUUUGUUUCCUUCCUGCUUAAUCCUAUACCUGAAUGCUCAAAAGUAAGUUCCAUGAAGUCAAUGAGACUUGCUUCGAGGUGUUUGUAUGGAUCUGUAACCUUUCAUGCACUUUUAAAAUGUCAAAGAUGUUUUGCAAUAUACGGCUGUGGCCUAGUGUGUGAAUCUGAGAUAAUUUUGAUAAUUUCUGAAUAGACGUGUGUCUGUGUUUCUCUGUGAGAUCUGCUUAACAGUUUUGGAGUCUUGCUCAGAGUAUUGCUAUUUCAAUGGGGAAGCACAAAAAUGUUUUGGAUGGCAUUAGGUGACAUCAAUAUCUAUUGAAGAUUUGGAGAAGUGCCACAAAAUUGGAGAUGUGUGUUUCUGUGUGUCUGUGUUACAGGAGGCUUGGAGGAAGCUUAUAGCUGAUCUGAAAAAAAAAA